GAACUGUCCAAUCGCAAUUAAAUAGGGAGUAAAUCUGAACAGUUCAUCACGAUUCAAUCUGAACUGUCCAUCGCAAUUUAAUCUGGACCAUCCGAUCGCGUUUAAAUCUGGUCAUCCGAUCGCGUUUGGAGAGAGAAUGCAUCUGAGCCGUCCGUGUGCGCGGGAAUGAAUUUGGACCGUUCGAUUACGGGUACACGGAUCACCCGCGUGGCACUGCGUCAGCGUCCGCUGCCAUAUAGCGCGUGCUGAU
RNAcentral lists this long non-coding RNA (250 nucleotides) under Carica papaya (papaya). RNAcentral's name for it is "long non-coding RNA (CPAP_LNC006076)". Lineage: Eukaryota; Viridiplantae; Streptophyta; Magnoliopsida; Brassicales; Caricaceae. The record is from RNAcentral.